AGCACCACAUCAGUGAAUUGUUAGUGCCUAGUCAGCAAUCAGAAUAUUCCUUUAGUUUGGAAAAAUUACAUAUCAAUCCCUAAAGUUUGAAAAUCUUAUAGUUUAGUACCUCACUUUUGAGAAAAUUAUAUUUUGCUCUCAGAGGUUUGUGGAAAUUUGUAGUUGAGUCCCCAAAGUUUUGAUAAUUGCAGUUUAAUCCCUAGACUUUCUGAUUUAGUCCCCUUUAAGGUUUUUCUACAUUACGGA
RNAcentral lists this long non-coding RNA (246 nucleotides) under Actinidia chinensis (golden kiwifruit). RNAcentral's name for it is "long non-coding RNA (ACHI_LNC006228)". The record is from RNAcentral. Lineage: Eukaryota; Viridiplantae; Streptophyta; Magnoliopsida; Ericales; Actinidiaceae.